This 333-nucleotide unclassified non-coding RNA is filed under the name soil metagenome. Its description in RNAcentral is "partial contains 5.8S ribosomal RNA, internal transcribed spacer 2, and large subunit ribosomal RNA". The stretch from base 1 to 120 matches the Rfam family "5.8S ribosomal RNA", at positions 35 to 154 of the family's 154-position model. The record is from RNAcentral.
GAUGAAGAACGUAGCGAAAUGCGAUAAGUAAUGUGAAUUGCAGAAUUCAGUGAAUCAUCGAAUCUUUGAACGCACAUUGCGCCCGCCAGUAUUCUGGCGAGCAUGCCUGUUCGAGCGUCAUUUCAACCAUCAAGCCCCAGGCUUGUGUUGGAGCCCUGCGGCUGCCGCAGCCUCCCAAAACCAGUGGCGGGCUCGCUAUCACACCGAGUGCAGUAGUUUACUCUUCGCUCAGGGCGUGUGGCGGGUGCUAGCCGUGAAACCCCCAACUUCUCAAGGUUGACCUCGGAUCAGGUAGGAAUACCCGCUGAACUUAAGCAUAUCAAUAAGCGGGGA